AAGGGAGACCUAAUUCAGGUAGGAGACGAAAAAAAAGUAGUCGCUACCAAGAAUCAAUCCCAAAAGGUCGGAGCGAGGCGAAAUUGGCUUUCAAACUAGGUUCUGGGUUCACACAAGACCUGAAUCAGGAACAAGGGCUAUUAGCUCAGGUGGUUAGAGCGCACCCCUGAUAAGGGUGAGGUCCCUGGUUCGAGUCCAGGAUGGCCCACCCGCACAGGUGGCAAAAACAAAGAAGCGAGGAAUCAGCACCUUAUCUUAUCUAUAUAUAAGAGAGAAUGCUGGCUCUGAGUAAAGAGUCCAGAGGAACCUUGAAAACUGCAUAGAGCUAGGUGAAAAAGCCAAAAAAGAAGACCGCAA
Molecule: transfer RNA, 357 nt
Filed under: uncultured Microcystis sp.
Lineage: Bacteria; Bacillati; Cyanobacteriota; Cyanophyceae; Chroococcales; Microcystaceae
Description: partial 16S-23S ribosomal RNA intergenic spacer
Rfam family: tRNA (bases 135-208)
Source: RNAcentral